CCUACGGGAGGCAGCAGUGGGGAAUAUUCCGCAAUGGGCGCAAGCCUGACCCAGCAACGCCGCGUGAAGGAAGAAGGCUUUCGGGUUGUAAACUUCUUUUAUGAGGGAAGAGCAGAAGACGGUACCACUUGAAUAAGCCACGGCUAACUACGUGCCAGCAGCCGCGGUAAUACGUAGGUGGCAAGCGUUGUCCGGAUUUACUGGGUGUAAAGGGCGUGUAGCCGGUCUGACAGGUCAGAUGUGAAAUUCCGGGGCUCAACCCAGGAACUGCAUUUGAAACUGUUGGUCUUGAGUAUCGGAGAGGCAGGUGGAAUUCCUGGUGUAGCGGUGAAAUGCGUAGAUAUUAGGAGGAACACCAGUGGCGAAGGCGGUCGGCUGGACGGCAACUGACGGUGAGGCGCGAAAGCGUGGGUAGCAAACAGGAUUAGAUACCCCUGUAGUC
RNAcentral lists this ribosomal RNA (442 nucleotides) under uncultured bacterium. Its description in RNAcentral is "partial 16S ribosomal RNA". It matches the Rfam family "Bacterial small subunit ribosomal RNA", at positions 338 to 795 of the family's 1533-position model. The record is from RNAcentral.